RNAcentral lists this ribosomal RNA (492 nucleotides) under uncultured bacterium. Its description in RNAcentral is "partial 16S ribosomal RNA". It matches the Rfam family "Bacterial small subunit ribosomal RNA", at positions 29 to 507 of the family's 1533-position model. The record is from RNAcentral.
AGUGAACGCUGGCGGUAGGCCUAACACAUGCAAGUCGAACGGCAGCACAGUAAGUGCUUGCUCUUACGGGUGGCGAGUGGCGGACGGGUGAGGUAUACAUCGGAAUCUACUUUUUCGUGGGGGAUAACGUAGGGAAACUUACGCUAAUACCGCAUACGACCUACGGGUGAAAGCAGGGGAUCUUCGGACCUUGCGCGAUUGAAUGAGCCGAUGUCGGAUUAGCUAGUUGGCGGGGUAAAGGCCCACCAAGGCGACGAUCCGUAGCUGGUCUGAGAGGAUGAUUAGCCACACUGGAACUGAGACACGGUCCAGACUCCUACGGGAAGCCGCAGUGGGGAAUAUUGGGCAAUGGGCGAGAGCCUGAUCCAGGCAUACCGGGUGGGUCAAGAUGGCCUUCUGGUUGUAAAGCCCUUUUGUUGGGAAAGAAAAGCAGCAGGUUAAUACCCCGAUGUUCUGACGGUACCCAAAGAAUAAGCACCGGCUAACUUCGUG